UAGCAUAAUCAUUAGUUUUUUAAUUGAAGACUGGAAUGAAAGGUUUAAUAAAAAAUAAGCUUUAUUAAUUUUAAUAAAUUUUGAAUUUAUUUUUUUAGUAAAAAAACUAAAAUAAUUUAAAAAGACGAUAAGACCCUAUAAAGCUUAAUAAUUAAAAAAAAAUAUUUAUUUAGAAAUUUUUAUUUAUUAUUUUUUUCAUUAUUUAAUUGGGGUGAUUUUAAGAUUUAAAAAACUCUUUAUUUAUUUUUAACAAAUUUUAUUGUAUUAAAAAUUAAAAAUUAAUUUUUUUUUAUUAAUUUUGAUCCUAAAAAUAGAUUAAAAAAUUAAGUUACUUUAGGGAUAACAGCGUAAUUUUUUUAAAGAGUUCAAAUCGAUAAAAAAGAUUGCGACCUCGAUGUUGAAUUAAGAUAAAUUUUAGGUGUAGAAGUUUAAUAUUU
This 437-nucleotide ribosomal RNA is filed under the name Paratanytarsus bituberculatus. RNAcentral describes it as "partial 16S ribosomal RNA". The record is from RNAcentral. Lineage: Eukaryota; Metazoa; Arthropoda; Insecta; Diptera; Chironomidae.